UGAAUGUUUUUGGAUGACUUGUGUUAAGGGGUGAAAGGCCAACCAAAUUCCGCUAUAGCUAGUUCUCCGCGAAAACUAUUUAGGUAGUGCGUUGUGUGAAUGAUAUCGGGGGUAAAGCACUGGAUGGGCUAGGGGGAAGCGAUUCCUACCAAACCUAACCAAACUCUGAAUACCGAUACUCUAUGCACAGCAGACAGACUAUAGGUGCUAAGGUCUAUAGUCGAGAGGGAAACAGCCCAGAUCACCAGUUAAGGCCCCCAAAUAAUGGCUAAGUGGGAAAGUAUGUAGAAAGACCAAGACAGGCAGGAGGUUGGCUUAGAAGCAGCCAUCCUUUAAAGAUAGCGUAACAGCUCACUGUUCUAAUUAAGUUUUUCCGCGACGAAGAUGUACCGGGGCUAAAGCCAUUUGCCGAAACUGUGACUUUGUAAUUAUUGCGAUAAUUACAAGGGGUAGCGGAGCGUUCUGUAAGCCGUUGAAGAUGUUUUGAAAAAGACGUUGGAGGUAUCAGAAGUGCGAAUGCUGACAUGAGUAGCGAUAAAGAGUGUGAGAGACACUCUCGCCGAAAUCCUAAGGUUUUCUGCGUAAAGUUAAUCUGCGCAGGGUUAGUCGACCCCUAAGGCGAGGCAGAAAUGCGUAGUCGAUGGGAAACAGGUUAAUAUUCCUGUACCUUCUGAGAGUUGACGGAUCAUGUAAAUAGUAUUUUCUUAUUGGAUUGAAAAUGCUGUGAAAUGGUUCCUGGAAAUAGCCUCAGAUUAUAGAUCGUACCUAAACCGACACAGGUAGGAAGGUAGAGUAUACCAAGGCGCUUGAGAGAAUGAUGUUGAAGGAACUCGGCAAAAUGCUCUUGUAACUUCGGAAUAAGAGAGACCAAAUUUUAGGCAACUAAUCUUUGGUGGCACAGAAUAGGGAGAAGCGACUGUUUAUCAAAAACACAGGUCUCUGCUAAGUCGUAAGACGAUGUAUAGGGACUGACGCCUGCCCGGUGCCGGAAGGUUAAAUGGUGGAGUGCAAGCUCUAAAAUGAAGCCCCGGUGAACGGCGGCCGUAACUAUAACGGUCCUAAGGUAGCGAAAUUCCUUGUCAGGUAAGUUCUGACCCGCAUGAAUGGCGUAACGAUUUCUCCGCUGUCUCCAACAUCAACUCAGCGAAAUUGAAUUCUCCGUGAAGAUGCGGAGUACGUGUAGUUAGACGGAAAGACCCCGUGCACCUUUACUAUAGCUUUACAGUGGUAUUAGAAAAAUAAUGUGUAGGCUAGGUGGUAGACUUUGAAGCAUUUGCGCUAGCAGAUGUGGAGUCAAAAGAUGAAACACCACCCUUUAUUUUUUUGAUAUCUAACCAUCAUCCAUUAUCUGGAUGUGGGACCCUGUAUGGUGGGUAGUUUGACUGGGGCGGUCGCCUCCCAAAGAGUAACGGAGGCGCGCGAUGGUAGGCUCAGGCUGGUCGGAAAUCAGCUUUAGAGUGCAAUGGCAAAAGCCUGCC
Molecule: ribosomal RNA, 1478 nt
Filed under: marine metagenome
Description: bacterial LSU rRNA
Rfam family: Bacterial large subunit ribosomal RNA
Source: RNAcentral